RNAcentral lists this ribosomal RNA (253 nucleotides) under uncultured bacterium. RNAcentral describes it as "partial 16S ribosomal RNA". It matches the Rfam family "Bacterial small subunit ribosomal RNA", at positions 524 to 776 of the family's 1533-position model. The record is from RNAcentral.
UACGUAGGGGGCUAGCGUUGUCCGGAAUCAUUGGGCGUAAAGAGCGUGUAGGCGGCCAUACAGGUCCGUUGUGAAAACUGGAGGCUCAACUUCCAGACGUCGACGGAAACCGUGUGGCUAGAGUCCGGAAGAGGAGAGUGGAAUUCCUGGUGUAGCGGUGAAAUGCGCAGAUAUCAGGAAGAACACCAAUGGCGAAGGCAGCUCUCUGGGACGGUACUGACGCUGAGACGCGAAAGCGUGGGGAGCGAACAGG